Mycena crocata is the source of this 94-nucleotide non-coding RNA. The record is from the annotation of a GenBank genome assembly. NCBI's taxonomy places the organism in Eukaryota, Fungi, Basidiomycota, Agaricomycetes, Agaricales, Mycenaceae.
GCUUCUGUAGACCAAGUGGAAGGUCUCCUUGCUUACUUCGCUGUGAUACCGUGAUGUUAACAAGGUAACGCGGGUUCGAAUCCCGCCAGAGGCA